This 468-nucleotide ribosomal RNA is filed under the name uncultured bacterium. RNAcentral describes it as "partial 16S ribosomal RNA". It matches the Rfam family "Bacterial small subunit ribosomal RNA", at positions 28 to 507 of the family's 1533-position model. The record is from RNAcentral.
GACGAACGCUGGCGGCGUGCUUAACACAUGCAAGUCGAACGGAAAGGCCCUGCUUUUGUGGGGUGCUCGAGUGGCGAACGGGUGAGUAACACGUGAGUAACCUGCCCUUGUCUUUGGGAUAACUUCAGGAAACUGGGGCUAAUACCGGAUAGGAGCUCCUGCUGCAUGGUGGGGGUUGGAAAGUUUCGGCGGUUGGGGAUGGACUCGCGGCUUAUCAGCUUGUUGGUGGGGUAGUGGCUUACCAAGGCUUUGACGGGUAGCCGGCCUGAGAGGGUGACCGGCCACCUUGGGACUGAGAUACGGCCCAGACUCCUACGGGAGGCAGCAGUGGGGAAUAUUGCACAAUGGGCGGAAGCCUGAUGCAGCAACGCCGCGUGCGGGAUGACGGCCUUCGGGUUGUAAACCGCUUUCGCCUGUGACGAAGCGUGAGUGACGGUAAUGGGUAAAGAAGCACCGGCUAACUACGUG